RNAcentral lists this ribosomal RNA (441 nucleotides) under uncultured bacterium. RNAcentral's name for it is "partial 16S ribosomal RNA". It matches the Rfam family "Bacterial small subunit ribosomal RNA", at positions 338 to 795 of the family's 1533-position model. The record is from RNAcentral.
CCUACGGGUGGCAGCAGUGGGGAAUAUUGCACAAUGGGCGAAAGCCUGAUGCAGCAACGCCGCGUGAAGGAAGAAGGCCUUCGGGUCGUAAAAUUCUGUCCUCGGGGAAGAAGAACGGACGUUACUCAAGGAGGAAGCCCCGGCUAACUACGUGCCAGCAGCCGCGGUAAUACGUAGGGGGCAAGCGUUAUCCGGAAUUAUUGGGCGAAAAGAGUACGUAGGUGGCAACCUAAGCGCAGGGGUAAAGGCAAUGGCUCAACCAGUGUUCGCCCUGCGAACUGGGGUGCUUGAGUGCAGGAGAGGAAAGCGGAAUUCCUAGUGUAGCGGUGAAAUGCGUAGAUAUUAGGAGGAACACCAGUGGCGAAGGCGGCUUGCUGGACUUUAACUGACACUGAGGUACGAAAGCGUGGGGAGCAAACAGGAUUAGAUACCCGGGUAGUC